CCACCGGAUCGGAAACGCGACCCACUGACUAUAUCCGCCAAGAAAUUCAGUGGGCUGUGUCUAUGGGUUAAUUUGUCGCAAGCGGACGGGUUCGGUGAGGACGGUGAUCGGUGCUUGAGGUACCUAAAAGCACCACUCAUGGAUCGGGAGGAUCCGUAAGGACGUGCUUAGGGCGACGUCGACUGUUUACCAUUCGGUCCACAGGAUCGGGUAUAACAUGAUCUAACUUACCUUCAGUUGUUUGAGCUUCUGGAGCCGCACUGGUUGCAGCUGCGAAACAUAAAAAGUAUACAGGUAAGAGGUCUUCUUUCUCUGUUUACCGACCCCAAAAAAAAACGAUGUUCUCAAUUCGACUCUACUACUAACUGGUGGUAGGACCUCUUGUGAGUCCGCACGGGUAGGUACCACCACCCUGUCUAUUGCUGCCGUGAAGCAGUAAUGCGUUUCGGUUUGAAGGCAGGGGCAGCUGUUAUACUGUAAUAGCUGAAACCUUAAAACUAUAUCUCGGCAUUUACGUCGUGAUUGGCUAUGGGCUUCGGCAACCACUUCAUGCCAGGUGGGUUGUGAGCUCGUCCAUCCUUUUAAACAAUAAAAACUUCAAUGCGUCAUGUAGGGCACCCGUGACCUACAUAGCAGUCAAAGGGUUAAAAACAUAAAAGGAAUCUUCAACUGUCACAGGUCCGUUGACCUUGCGCGUCAACUAAUCUUUGUGUUCCAUUGCGUGCAUUUUUCAUUUUACAUUUUUUUUAUGGCUUGCAUCCAUUGAUCAAUGGGUUGUAUUGAAACCGUUCACGAAAAUGAAGUAUUGUUGCUAUUCUUAACGGUAUAACACUAAAUUCACGUUCCAACAUGUUUGUAUGAAACGCGCAAUGUAAGCAUAACAAAUUUACAAAUGAUACUGAAGUGCGUAGUCAACGACCUUGAGGCAGAGUAUGAUUGACUUUGUGUUUCAAUGCGAGCUCACGAAUGAGCUUACCAAUGCAAGCGUUUAUACAUUUAUUAAUAAACUAGCUGAUUCGGCAGACUUCGUAGUGCCUCAAUCGAUAAAUAAAAGAGCGACGGGGGACACAUCAAAGGAAAAACAACAUUGUUAUUUUUAUUUAAUUCCGAGCAUACUUAUCUUACUUUUAAACCUUCUCUGGACUUCCACAAAUUAUUCAAUGCCAAAAUUAGCCAAAUCAGUUCAGCCGUUCUCGAGUUUUAGCGAGACUAACGAACGGCAAUUCAUUUUUAUAUAUAGAGAUAAUUAGUUAAUUAUAAUAUUAAUUAACAAGUACCUGUAGUUGCCGCUGAAUCUGCUAAAAUAAGGAAUAAAAAAAACAUAUUGAGGAUUUCAAUCGAAAUUCAUUCUUAUUCAAUCUAACCUAACGAUAGAUUUUCGAGUACCCCCGAAAUUAAAUUAGUUUAAGCAUCGUAGCAAAUUAUGACGUAUUCUCGUUUUAUUCCCCUACCUAUUUGCUAGUAGCCUAAGGGGCUAUUUCAGUUACGCCUAGACGGGUAGGUGAGCUCACGGGCUCAACCUGAGAGAAUUGGCUAACACUGAUCCUAGCAGGAGCAGUUCUGAAUUUACCACCGGAUCGGAAUCGCGACCAGCUGCGAAGAUCCGGGGAGAAACUCAGUGGGUUGUGUGUAUGGGUUAGUUCGCUUCGUCAUGAUCGACGAGGACAGCGCUUCUGGCCAUUCUCCGGUGAAUCUCUUAGUCGCCUCAUGAUAUUCACGGGCAGAGAUGAGGUGGUGCUAUUCGCCACCGCAUUGCAACUUGGAAAACCUUCUUUUUUUAAUACACACAACUAUAAGAUAGGGUUGUUAUUAGUACUUUACAUUAUUCGUUAACGAUAUCGCGGCGUGUUGCAAGCGCCACGGUCGCGAACAGACUAAAGUGUGCGGAUAGAAUAUUAUCUUGUCAAUCAGCGGAAAAAUCUGAAUACCCUCUUUCUAGUUCGUUUUUUGGGUGUUACCAAUGGAACUCGAUGACACGUUCCGACAAUACUGAGUUUAGGUUCGUGUGAAAAUCGUGGUAGGAACUCUUUAAAUAAUAGUGUUUGUAAUGUAGAUGCGCUGGAAAAUCCCUGUACAGAACUUCGCAUCAACGUGUCGAUCCUCCAAGAACUCCAGAUACAGACGAGAAUUUCUGCCAUCCGCCUACGUAGAGUUCUGGAAUACUUUGGCCACAUUGUCAGAAAGGACGACGGCAACUUGGAGAAGCUAAUGGUCACUGGUAAAGUGGAGGGGAAAAAACCACGAGGUGGAGGCCCGACACGUUGGAUUGACCAGUGUGCCUAGUGCGAGUUUCAUAAAGUUCUCGAUAGCGUAAAAGUUAAGCCAAUUUUGUAUGCAGUUGAAACAGUGCCCUUAGCGGCAAACGUACGCAAACGAUCCCAUUCCAUGUAAAUAUGAGAUAACUUUUACGUUAUCGAGAACGUUAAAAAACUCGCACUAAGCGCACAGAACGCCACUACUCUCGACAUCACAGUCCACGAUGCUCUACAAUCAGCAAUAGAAGAUUAAAAUUUAAUAGACAACAAAAAUAAAAUACCUUCAGUCGUAGCUGCGGUGUGGCCUAAAACAUCAAACAUAAUUUUAGUGUUAUACGAAAAGGAAAUAAAGAUAUAUAUAUAUGUCAGAGGAAGCAAUGAGUCGAGUUGAUUCUUGUUUACAUGCUUAAUGUUUAUUAUUAUUAGUUUUACGUUGUAAUUACUUUUAUAAUUCCUAAUUCUAUUUUAUCUUGUUUGUUACGUUUUUCUAUAACUUUAAAACCUUUCAUAAAAAUAAACUGUAAUAAAAGGUCCCAUAACUGUAAAUCACGUAGGCAGCGACCAAUCAGAGCAGAGCGUCUUGUCUCGAGCGUGGUCGAGGCGCCAUCUUCACUUUUGAGAAAGCUUGUAUUGUGGUGUGACGCAUUUUGUAUAUUGUGAGCAUAAAAACGUAUCGAGUUGGAUCGUUGGAUAAUUUGGAUAUAGUUAAAGUGAGAUUGGUGCACCGAACUCGCUGCUCGGUCUAAACUGUUGUAUUCCUACAAUAUUACCGUGGAUAACAAAAUAUUGUAUAAACUGAAAUUAAACUACUGAUAAAACGGCAUCCAUUGUGUUUUGUGCUCGCACUUUAACCCCAUGACGCCCACUAAGCCCGCAGCCACUAAUGGCGAUAUCGACGAGGAGAGCCUUUCCCCGACAUCAGAAGUGGGAUCGGUGCAGGCACAAAACGUGAACGAACAGACGACGGCAAAUGAUGGAUGGCGUGCGUUAUUUGAAGCACAACAAACCAGCAUGAAGCUACUCGUGGAGGCUUUGACUAAACCACCGAAUCUUGAGGAUAAAAACAUCACGCUGCCUAAGUUUCAACCGGAUGAUGCAAACACUGACGCCCGGGCCUGGCUGGCCACGGCGGACAUUUGCUUAUCGGAUCGUGAGAUACAGGGAAGUAAAUUAAUUCUCAUUCUUAGUAAGGCUAUGAAAGGGUCGGCUGCAACAUGGUUUUCUCAAAUAGUUUUUCCUAAUAUGAAAUGGGUAGAAUUUAAGGAAAUUUUUAUUUCUCGAUUUGUUACGUUAGAAACAUGUGCAGCGACGUUAUUGAAGAUGCUUACUGGUAAACCACAAGAAGGUGAAUGUCUUGCUGCAUAUGCAAGCCGUUUAUUUACCUUACUCAUGUCACGAUGGAGUAAUUUAGAAAAGGAAGAAAUGGUGGUGUCUUUAAUACUUGCACACAUGGGACAAAUUGAGCCACGGUUACAACGCAAUAUUUUUGCGGAAGAAAUAACAACCCGCUGUAAAAUGCAACGCGAACUAAUGGCUUUUUCUUAUCGCAAACGGAGCUACCAAGAGAUGACAAAGGCCGUUGCAAGCAAUACGCACGAUAACAAACUUCCUAAAUUAAGUUCUGGUUUCACAAAAUGUUACGCUUGUGGAAAGCUUGGCCAUAAAUCUAAUGAAUGUUUCAGUCGGUCGCAUGAAAAACAGCAAACAACUCCGAUCUUUGAACACCCUGAUAUAGCUGAGGGUAAGCGUGCCCCGGUGACUUGCUACAAGUGUGGUGUUGAAGGUCAUGUGGCAUCGCGGUGCUCAAAAACAUGGUCAGUUGCAAGUAAUAGUGCACAACCCACCGUCGCACCCAGCAUCGUGAAGCGAGUGAACGUGUGUGGUAUGAAGCCUGUCACCGGGAUAAUUACACAAUUUGGUGAGCAGUUCUCAUUUUGUUUUGAUUCUGGUGCUGACUGUUCCUUAAUUAAAGAGAGCGUCUCUCGUAAGCUUGUCAGUACAGUACAGCACGCUAUUGCUACAUUGUGUAACAUGUAACUCACAAAUUUGGAUAGGAUGGCGAGGUGGCCAUAGGAUGGCGAGGUGGCCAUAGGAUGGCGAGGUGGCCAUAGGAGGGCGAGGUGGCCAUAGGAUGGCGAGGUGGCCAUAGGAUGGCGAGGUGGCCAUAGGAUGGCGAGGUGGCCAUAGGAUGGCGAGGUGGCCAUUUUAUUGCUAUUAGUCUGUUAACGGCGAAGUGGCUGCUUAGAUACUAUGGAAUUAAUUUAGAAUGUAGCGUGGAAUCUAUUAGGAUUCAGAUCGGAAUACGAAACAGAAAUGGAGUUAUUGCAUAAAGGAUCAAAUGUAAGGAUCCUGUAAUGUCCUGGGUCAGGAGUGGCCGAGACGUACAAAAAUAGUUUCUUUUUUUUGCAGAUAUCGAUGAUGCACGGCCUUCAACAUCACACGAGGACGUGUGAUAUGUCAGGACGGCCGUGUCAGAGGAAGCAAUGAGUCGAGUUGAUUCUUGUUUACAUGCUUAAUGUUUAUUAUUAUUAGUUUUACGUUGUAAUUACUUUUAUAAUUCCUAAUUCUAUUUUAUCUUGUUUGUUACGUUUUUCUAUAACUUUAAAACCUUUCAUAAAAAUAAACUGUAAUAAAAGGUCCCAUAACUGUAAAUCACGUAGGCAGCGACCAAUCAGAGCAGAGCGUCUUGUCUCGAGCGUGGUCGAGGCGCCAUCUUCACUUUUGAGAAAGCUUGUAUUGUGGUGUGACGCAUUUUGUAUAUUGUGAGCAUAAAAACGUAUCGAGUUGGAUCGUUGGAUAAUUUGGAUAUAGUUAAAGUGAGAUUGGUGCACCGAACUCGCUGCUCGGUCUAAACUGUUGUAUUCCUACAAUAUUACCGUGGAUAACAAAAUAUUGUAUAAACUGAAAUUAAACUACUGAUAAAACGGCA
Bombyx mori (domestic silkworm) is the source of this 5184-nucleotide RNA transcript. RefSeq lists it as uncharacterized. The transcript is spliced from 2 exons. The record is from RefSeq and is a predicted model, not a curated record. NCBI's taxonomy places the organism in Eukaryota, Metazoa, Arthropoda, Insecta, Lepidoptera, Bombycidae.